Molecule: ribosomal RNA, 253 nt
Filed under: uncultured bacterium
Lineage: Bacteria
Description: partial 16S ribosomal RNA
Rfam family: Bacterial small subunit ribosomal RNA
Source: RNAcentral
UACGGAGGGAGCUAGUGUUAUUCGGAAUUACUGGGCGUAAAGGGCUCGUAGGCGGCCAACUAAGUCAGACGUGAAAUCCCUCAGCUUAACUGGGGAACUGCGUCUGAUACUGGAUGGCUUGGAUUUGGGAGAGGGAUGCGGAAUUCCAGGUGUAGCGGUGAAAUGCGUAGAUAUCUGGAGGAACACCGGUGGCGAAGGCGGGUUGCUGGGCCGACACUGACGCUGAGGCGCGAAAGCCAGGGGAGCGAACGGG